GUUGGUUGCUAAGGACGCGCUUUGUGCUGUGAAACGCUGGAGAUGCGCUCGAAUAAACCGCACGACGCUCGCACUAAAGCGCCGCCUGCGCGAUUCCUGCCGCCUGCGGGUCACAGCUAUCAGCAGCAUCUGGCAGCAGUGCGGGCUUUACUGCCCGACAGACGGAGCAAACCCAUCCUCAACGCGUCGGAGCUUGAUCUGAAGUUAUCAAAUGACCUGCAGAAAGCACUGAGUGUGGACUCAUUGAAACCAAACCCGUCCAAAACCGACGCUCGUCUGCAGGUGUCUCCGGGUCUGUCCUGUGACAGCGAGCUCUCGGCUGCGGGUCGCUGUGUCUUCUCUCUUCCCGUGGCUCUUCCCGUGGGGAUGCUGGUGGAUAUGGGGCCCCAGGUGUACCGGGUGAAGAGAGCCGCUCACAGCGCGGGGUCCACGUCCCCGCAGAGCAAAGCAGCGCUCGCUCACAUGCGCGGAAGUCUGCGUGACAGUUCCGUCCCGUGUUUCCCGUCUGCCUUCGGCUUCAGAGAUGACAUCACUUCCUGCCCGGAGAGACUGGAUCUGGACCGGUAUCCUGUUCAUUUAAAAAACACCUA
Molecule: long non-coding RNA, 590 nt
Filed under: Sinocyclocheilus anshuiensis
Lineage: Eukaryota; Metazoa; Chordata; Actinopteri; Cypriniformes; Cyprinidae
Description: lncRNA (ENSSANG00000020328.1)
Source: RNAcentral